This 468-nucleotide ribosomal RNA is filed under the name uncultured bacterium. RNAcentral's name for it is "partial 16S ribosomal RNA". It matches the Rfam family "Bacterial small subunit ribosomal RNA", at positions 28 to 507 of the family's 1533-position model. The record is from RNAcentral.
GACGAACGCUGGCGGCGUGCUUAACACAUGCAAGUCGAACGGAAAGGCCCUGCUUUUGUGGGGUGCUCGAGUGGCGAACGGGUGAGUAACACGUGAGUAACCUGCCCUUGACUUUGGGAUAACUUCAGGAAACUGGGGCUAAUACCGGAUAGGAGCUCCUGCUGCAUGGUGGGGGUUGGAAAGUUUCGGCGGUUGGGGAUGGACUCGCGGCUUAUCAGCUUGUUGGUGGGGUAGUGGCUUACCAAGGCUUUGACGGGUAGCCGGCCUGAGAGGGUGACCGGCCACAUUGGGACUAAGAUACGGCCCAGACUCCUACGGGAGGCAGCAGUGGAGAAUAUUGCACAAUGGGCGGAAGCCUGAUGCAGCAACGCCGCGUGCGUGAUGACGGCCUUCGGGUUGUAAACCGCUUUCGCCUGUGACGAAGCGUGAGUGACGGUAAUGGGUAAAGAAGCACCGGCUAACUACGUG